GAUGAACGCUGGCGGCGUGCCUAACACGUGCCAGUCGAACGGAGAUUACGGACGGAAGUUUUCGGAUGGAAGACUGUAAUUCUUAGUGGCGGACGGGUGAGUAACGCGUGGGCAACCUGCCCUAUACAGGGGGAUAGCAGCUGGAAACGGCUGGUAAGACCGCAUAAGUCGGUUAAAUCGCAUGAUUUGAUCGGGAAAUGAGCAAUCAGGUAUAGGAUGGGCCCGCGUCCGAUUAGCCAGUUGGCAGGGUAAAAGCCUACCAAAGCGACGAUCGGUAGCCGGACUGAGAGGUCGGACGGCCACAUUGGGACUGAGACACGGCCCAAACUCCUACGGGAGGCAGCAGUGGGGGAUAUUGCACAAUGGAGGAAACUCUGAUGCAGCGACGCCGCGUGAGUGAAGAAGUAUUUCGGUAUGUAAAGCUCUAUCAGCAGGGAAGAUGAUGACGGUACCUGACUAAGAAGCCCCGGCUAACUACGUG
This 481-nucleotide ribosomal RNA is filed under the name uncultured bacterium. RNAcentral's name for it is "partial 16S ribosomal RNA". It matches the Rfam family "Bacterial small subunit ribosomal RNA", at positions 28 to 507 of the family's 1533-position model. The record is from RNAcentral.